AGUGAACGCUGGCGGUAGGCCUAACACAUGCAAGUCGAACGGCAGCACAGUAAGAUCUUGCUCUUACGGGUGGCGAGUGGCGGACGGGUGAGGAAUACAUCGGAAUCUACUUUUUCGUGGGGGAUAACGUAGGGAAACUUACGCUAAUACCGCAUAUGACCUACGGGUGAAAGCAGGGGAUCUUCGGACCUUGCGCGAUUGAAUGAGCCGAUGUCGGAUUAGCUAGUUGGCGGGGUAAAGGCCCACCAAGGCGACGAUCCGUAGCUGGUCUGAGAGGAUGAUCAGCCACACUGGAACUGGGACACGGUCCAGACUCCUACGGGAGGCAGCAGUGGGGAAUAUUGGACAAUGGGCGCAAGCCUGAUCCAGCCAUACCGCGUGGGUGAAGAAGGCCUUCGGGUUGUAAAGCCCUUUUGUUGGGAAAGAAAAGCAGCAGGUUAAUACCCCGCUGUUCUGACGGUACCCAAAGAAUAAGCACCGGCUAACUUCGUG
This 492-nucleotide ribosomal RNA is filed under the name uncultured bacterium. RNAcentral describes it as "partial 16S ribosomal RNA". It matches the Rfam family "Bacterial small subunit ribosomal RNA", at positions 29 to 507 of the family's 1533-position model. The record is from RNAcentral.